AGAAUCUUUCACAAUGGGGGAAACCCUGAUGGAGCGACGCCGCGUGGAGGAUGACGGUCUUCGGAUUGUAAACUCCUGUCAUGAGAGCACAAAGUCUCAUGGCUAAUACCUGUGAGAACUGAUAGUAUUUCAAGAGGAAGAGACGGCUAACUGUGUGCCACCAGCCGCGGUAAUACAGAGGUCUCGAGCGUUGUUCGGAUUCAUUGGGCGUAAAGGGUGCGUAGGCGGCGAGGUAAGUCGGAUGUGAAAUCCCGGGGCUCAACCCCGGAACUGCAUUCGAUACUGCCUCGCUUGAGGACUGGAGAGGAGACUGGAAUUCACGGUGUAGCAGUGAUAUGCGUAGAUAUCGUGAGGAAGACCGGUGGCGAAGGCGGGUCUCUGGACAGUUCCUGACGCUGAGGCACGAAGGCCAGGGGAGCAAAC
RNAcentral lists this ribosomal RNA (423 nucleotides) under uncultured bacterium. Its description in RNAcentral is "bacterial SSU rRNA". It matches the Rfam family "Bacterial small subunit ribosomal RNA", at positions 358 to 773 of the family's 1533-position model. The record is from RNAcentral.